CACCUUCACUCGCGCAGCGUGGGCGGAGUCUCGUACCUGUGCUCGUGAGUGCUGUCCGCCAGGUUUGGGCAGUUUGGAUGCAAACAAAACAACGGAUUAUUUACCAAGAGAUAUGCAUGUAUGGACUCAUUUCGAUUAAACACUUCUGAGUGUUUACGCUGCAGAAAACUGACGAGCAACACUACAGUCCUUCAACAAACAGAUGAGGAAGAGGAGGAGGAUGGCGGUCCAGCAUACAAAGAGAAAGUAACCAAGAGAAGUGUCAGCGCUGAAGGAAUGACAGACGUUACUCAGACACCUGUGAACACAGCAGUGUUUGGAGUCCAAGACAGUGAUCUUUAUUAUAUAUUUAUAUAUUUAUUAUACUCCUGACUGGACUAGCAAGGCGUAUUAGAGACAAUGAGAAAGUGCAGCAAUAAAAGCUCCCAAACGAAGAUGUCACCGGAUUAAGAUGUGGAAAGACAUGUUACACCACCGCAACCAUAAAUCCUGAGUGAUUUGAAUAUGGGCAACAACCGAGGAAAAGUACUCACUGUUUCACUCAAAAAUGAUCCAUGG
This is a long non-coding RNA of Cyprinus carpio carpio, 558 nucleotides long. Lineage: Eukaryota; Metazoa; Chordata; Actinopteri; Cypriniformes; Cyprinidae. The record is from Ensembl.